Molecule: ribosomal RNA, 2903 nt
Filed under: Escherichia coli
Lineage: Bacteria; Pseudomonadati; Pseudomonadota; Gammaproteobacteria; Enterobacterales; Enterobacteriaceae
Description: 23S ribosomal RNA
Rfam family: Bacterial large subunit ribosomal RNA
Source: RNAcentral
UUAAGCGACUAAGCGUACACGGUGGAUGCCCUGGCAGUCAGAGGCGAUGAAGGACGUGCUAAUCUGCGAUAAGCGUCGGUAAGGUGAUAUGAACCGUUAUAACCGGCGAUUUCCGAAUGGGGAAACCCAGUGUGUUUCGACACACUAUCAUUAACUGAAUCCAUAGGUUAAUGAGGCGAACCGGGGGAACUGAAACAUCUAAGUACCCCGAGGAAAAGAAAUCAACCGAGAUUCCCCCAGUAGCGGCGAGCGAACGGGGAGCAGCCCAGAGCCUGAAUCAGUGUGUGUGUUAGUGGAAGCGUCUGGAAAGGCGCGCGAUACAGGGUGACAGCCCCGUACACAAAAAUGCACAUGCUGUGAGCUCGAUGAGUAGGGCGGGACACGUGGUAUCCUGUCUGAAUAUGGGGGGACCAUCCUCCAAGGCUAAAUACUCCUGACUGACCGAUAGUGAACCAGUACCGUGAGGGAAAGGCGAAAAGAACCCCGGCGAGGGGAGUGAAAAAGAACCUGAAACCGUGUACGUACAAGCAGUGGGAGCACGCUUCGGCGUGUGACUGCGUACCUUUUGUAUAAUGGGUCAGCGACUUAUAUUCUGUAGCAAGGUUAACCGAAUAGGGGAGCCGAAGGGAAACCGAGUCUUAACUGGGCGUUAAGUUGCAGGGUAUAGACCCGAAACCCGGUGAUCUAGCCAUGGGCAGGUUGAAGGUUGGGUAACACUAACUGGAGGACCGAACCGACUAAUGUUGAAAAAUUAGCGGAUGACUUGUGGCUGGGGGUGAAAGGCCAAUCAAACCGGGAGAUAGCUGGUUCUCCCCGAAAGCUAUUUAGGUAGCGCCUCGUGAAUUCAUCUCCGGGGGUAGAGCACUGUUUCGGCAAGGGGGUCAUCCCGACUUACCAACCCGAUGCAAACUGCGAAUACCGGAGAAUGUUAUCACGGGAGACACACGGCGGGUGCUAACGUCCGUCGUGAAGAGGGAAACAACCCAGACCGCCAGCUAAGGUCCCAAAGUCAUGGUUAAGUGGGAAACGAUGUGGGAAGGCCCAGACAGCCAGGAUGUUGGCUUAGAAGCAGCCAUCAUUUAAAGAAAGCGUAAUAGCUCACUGGUCGAGUCGGCCUGCGCGGAAGAUGUAACGGGGCUAAACCAUGCACCGAAGCUGCGGCAGCGACGCUUAUGCGUUGUUGGGUAGGGGAGCGUUCUGUAAGCCUGUGAAGGUGUACUGUGAGGUAUGCUGGAGGUAUCAGAAGUGCGAAUGCUGACAUAAGUAACGAUAAAGCGGGUGAAAAGCCCGCUCGCCGGAAGACCAAGGGUUCCUGUCCAACGUUAAUCGGGGCAGGGUGAGUCGACCCCUAAGGCGAGGCCGAAAGGCGUAGUCGAUGGGAAACAGGUUAAUAUUCCUGUACUUGGUGUUACUGCGAAGGGGGGACGGAGAAGGCUAUGUUGGCCGGGCGACGGUUGUCCCGGUUUAAGCGUGUAGGCUGGUUUUCCAGGCAAAUCCGGAAAAUCAAGGCUGAGGCGUGAUGACGAGGCACUACGGUGCUGAAGCAACAAAUGCCCUGCUUCCAGGAAAAGCCUCUAAGCAUCAGGUAACAUCAAAUCGUACCCCAAACCGACACAGGUGGUCAGGUAGAGAAUACCAAGGCGCUUGAGAGAACUCGGGUGAAGGAACUAGGCAAAAUGGUGCCGUAACUUCGGGAGAAGGCACGCUGAUAUGUAGGUGAAGUCCCUCGCGGAUGGAGCUGAAAUCAGUCGAAGAUACCAGCUGGCUGCAACUGUUUAUUAAAAACACAGCACUGUGCAAACACGAAAGUGGACGUAUACGGUGUGACGCCUGCCCGGUGCCGGAAGGUUAAUUGAUGGGGUUAGCGGUAACGCGAAGCUCUUGAUCGAAGCCCCGGUAAACGGCGGCCGUAACUAUAACGGUCCUAAGGUAGCGAAAUUCCUUGUCGGGUAAGUUCCGACCUGCACGAAUGGCGUAAUGAUGGCCAGGCUGUCUCCACCCGAGACUCAGUGAAAUUGAACUCGCUGUGAAGAUGCAGUGUACCCGCGGCAAGACGGAAAGACCCCGUGAACCUUUACUAUAGCUUGACACUGAACAUUGAGCCUUGAUGUGUAGGAUAGGUGGGAGGCUUUGAAGUGUGGACGCCAGUCUGCAUGGAGCCGACCUUGAAAUACCACCCUUUAAUGUUUGAUGUUCUAACGUUGACCCGUAAUCCGGGUUGCGGACAGUGUCUGGUGGGUAGUUUGACUGGGGCGGUCUCCUCCUAAAGAGUAACGGAGGAGCACGAAGGUUGGCUAAUCCUGGUCGGACAUCAGGAGGUUAGUGCAAUGGCAUAAGCCAGCUUGACUGCGAGCGUGACGGCGCGAGCAGGUGCGAAAGCAGGUCAUAGUGAUCCGGUGGUUCUGAAUGGAAGGGCCAUCGCUCAACGGAUAAAAGGUACUCCGGGGAUAACAGGCUGAUACCGCCCAAGAGUUCAUAUCGACGGCGGUGUUUGGCACCUCGAUGUCGGCUCAUCACAUCCUGGGGCUGAAGUAGGUCCCAAGGGUAUGGCUGUUCGCCAUUUAAAGUGGUACGCGAGCUGGGUUUAGAACGUCGUGAGACAGUUCGGUCCCUAUCUGCCGUGGGCGCUGGAGAACUGAGGGGGGCUGCUCCUAGUACGAGAGGACCGGAGUGGACGCAUCACUGGUGUUCGGGUUGUCAUGCCAAUGGCACUGCCCGGUAGCUAAAUGCGGAAGAGAUAAGUGCUGAAAGCAUCUAAGCACGAAACUUGCCCCGAGAUGAGUUCUCCCUGACUCCUUGAGAGUCCUGAAGGAACGUUGAAGACGACGACGUUGAUAGGCCGGGUGUGUAAGCGCAGCGAUGCGUUGAGCUAACCGGUACUAAUGAACCGUGAGGCUUAACCU